UCCUCCGUGGCGCAAUUGGCUAGCGCGUCUGACUGUUAAACAAUUCUCUGUGAGAUGCUUGGUAAUCAGGAGGUUCGUGGUUCGAGCCCACGCGGGGGAG
Molecule: non-coding RNA, 100 nt
Organism: Aaosphaeria arxii CBS 175.79
Lineage: Eukaryota; Fungi; Ascomycota; Dothideomycetes; Pleosporales
Source: the annotation of a RefSeq genome assembly